This 434-nucleotide ribosomal RNA is filed under the name uncultured Lachnospiraceae bacterium. Its description in RNAcentral is "partial 16S ribosomal RNA". It matches the Rfam family "Bacterial small subunit ribosomal RNA", at positions 341 to 792 of the family's 1533-position model. Lineage: Bacteria; Bacillati; Bacillota; Clostridia; Lachnospirales; Lachnospiraceae. The record is from RNAcentral.
ACGGAAGGCAGCAGUGGGGAAUAUUGCACAAUGGGGGAAACCCUGAUGCAGCGACGCCGCGUGAGUGAAGAAGUAUUUCGGUAUGUAAAGCUCUAUCAGCAGGGAAGAAAAUGACGGUACCUGACUAAGAAGCCCCGGCUAACUACGUGCCAGCAGCCGCGGUAAUACGUAGGGGGCAAGCGUUAUCCGGAUUUACUGGGUGUAAAGGGAGCGUAGACGGUUCUGCAAGUCUGAUGUGAAAGGCAGGGGCUCAACUCCUGGACUGCAUUGGAAACUGUAGAACUAGAGUGCCGGAGAGGUAAGCGGAAUUCCUAGUGUAGCGGUGAAAUGCGUAGAUAUUAGGAAGAACACCAGUGGCGAAGGCGGCUUUCUGGACUGAAACUGACGCUGAGGCUCGAAAGCGUGGGGAGCAAACAGGAUUAGAUACCCUGGUA